RNAcentral lists this ribosomal RNA (206 nucleotides) under uncultured Streptococcus sp. RNAcentral's name for it is "partial 16S ribosomal RNA". It matches the Rfam family "Bacterial small subunit ribosomal RNA", at positions 531 to 737 of the family's 1533-position model. The record is from RNAcentral. Lineage: Bacteria; Bacillati; Bacillota; Bacilli; Lactobacillales; Streptococcaceae.
GUCUCGAGCGUUGUCCGGAUUUAUUGGGCGUAAAGCGAGCGCAGGCGGUUCUAUAAGUCUGAAGUAAAAGGCAGUGGCUCAACCAUUGUAUGCUUUGGAAACUGUAGAACUUGAGUGCAGAAGGGGAGAGUGGAAUUCCAUGUGUAGCGGUGAAAUGCGUAGAUAUAUGGAGGAACACCGGUGGCGAACGCGGCUCUAUGGUCUGU